UUAGUACUCUCUCCGUUCGGAAAUACUUGUCAUAAAAAUUGAUAAAAAGAGAUGUAUCUAGACCUAAAAUACAUUUAGAUACAUCCCCUUUUAUCCAUUUUGAUGACAAGUAUUUCCAGACGGAGGGAGUAUCAU
Triticum aestivum (bread wheat) is the source of this 135-nucleotide non-coding RNA. The record is from Rfam. Lineage: Eukaryota; Viridiplantae; Streptophyta; Magnoliopsida; Poales; Poaceae.